CCUACGGGACGCAGCAGUGGGGAAUAUUGGGCAAUGGGCGCAAGCCUGACCCAGCAACGCCGCGUGAAGGAAGAAGGCUUUCGGGUUGUAAACUUCUUUUCUUGGGGACGAAGAAAGUGACGGUACCCAAGGAAUAAGCCACGGCUAACUACGUGCCAGCAGCCGCGGUAAUACGUAGGUGGCAAGCGUUAUCCGGAUUUAUUGGGUGUAAAGGGAGCGCAGGCGGCACGGCAAGCCUGGUGUGAAAACCCGGGGCCCAACCCCGGGAGUGCAUUGGGAACUGCCGCGCUAGAGUGCCGGAGGGG
Molecule: ribosomal RNA, 305 nt
Filed under: uncultured bacterium
Lineage: Bacteria
Description: bacterial SSU rRNA
Rfam family: Bacterial small subunit ribosomal RNA
Source: RNAcentral